This 1049-nucleotide ribosomal RNA is filed under the name Bacillus sp. (in: firmicutes). Its description in RNAcentral is "bacterial SSU rRNA". It matches the Rfam family "Bacterial small subunit ribosomal RNA", at positions 34 to 1069 of the family's 1533-position model. The record is from RNAcentral. Lineage: Bacteria; Bacillati; Bacillota; Bacilli; Caryophanales; Bacillaceae.
CACUAUGGUGCCUAUACAUGCAAGUCGAGCGGACAGAAGGGAGCUUGCUCCCGGAUGUUAGCGGCGGACGGGUGAGUAACACGUGGGUAACCUGCCUGUAAGACUGGGAUAACUCCGGGAAACCGGAGCUAAUACCGGAUAGUUCCUUGAACCGCAUGGUUCAAGGAUGAAAGACGGUUUCGGCUGUCACUUACAGAUGGACCCGCGGCGCAUUAGCUAGUUGGUGAGGUAACGGCUCACCAAGGCGACGAUGCGUAGCCGACCUGAGAGGGUGAUCGGCCACACUGGGACUGAGACACGGCCCAGACUCCUACGGGAGGCAGCAGUAGGGAAUCUUCCGCAAUGGACGAAAGUCUGACGGAGCAACGCCGCGUGAGUGAUGAAGGUUUUCGGAUCGUAAAGCUCUGUUGUUAGGGAAGAACAAGUGCAAGAGUAACUGCUUGCACCUUGACGGUACCUAACCAGAAAGCCACGGCUAACUACGUGCCAGCAGCCGCGGUAAUACGUAGGUGGCAAGCGUUGUCCGGAAUUAUUGGGCGUAAAGGGCUCGCAGGCGGUUUCUUAAGUCUGAUGUGAAAGCCCCCGGCUCAACCGGGGAGGGUCAUUGGAAACUGGGAAACUUGAGUGCAGAAGAGGAGAGUGGAAUUCCACGUGUAGCGGUGAAAUGCGUAGAGAUGUGGAGGAACACCAGUGGCGAAGGCGACUCUCUGGUCUGUAACUGACGCUGAGGAGCGAAAGCGUGGGGAGCGAACAGGAUUAGAUACCCUGGUAGUCCACGCCGUAAACGAUGAGUGCUAAGUGUUAGGGGGUUUCCGCCCCUUAGUGCUGCAGCUAACGCAUUAAGCACUCCGCCUGGGGGAGUACGGUCGCAAGACUGAACUCAAGGAAUUGACGGGGGCCCGCACAAGCGGUGGAGCAUGUGGUUAAUUCGAAGCAACGCGAAGACCUUACCAAGGUCUUGACAUCUUCUGACAACCCUAGAGAUAGGCUUAUCCCUUCGGGACAGAGUGACAGGUGGUGCCAUGGUUUGAUCGUCAGCUCGAGCUCUG